CUAUCUCUCGGGCUCAUCACC
This 21-nucleotide unclassified non-coding RNA is filed under the name Mus musculus (house mouse). RNAcentral describes it as "oocyte_clustered_small_RNA4672". The record is from RNAcentral. Lineage: Eukaryota; Metazoa; Chordata; Mammalia; Rodentia; Muridae.